This 240-nucleotide unclassified non-coding RNA is filed under the name soil metagenome. RNAcentral describes it as "partial contains 5.8S ribosomal RNA, internal transcribed spacer 2, and large subunit ribosomal RNA". The record is from RNAcentral.
AAGACUAUAGACCUGCGGAGUACCUGCGGAGGGAUCAUUACCGAAAAAAAAACCACAAAAGUGAUGAAUUGCGGGCACUUGCGUACACGUACACCAUGGCGUUCUCCGCGCAAGGAGGAUGCGAUGAUGCGCGCACACAGACACAAGUGCUGCUUUCUCCCUUUGUCAACCCCUUGUGUGAACCACUUUUAUGUAUGCUGGCAUGUUGACUGACUGACUGACUGACUGACUGUGACUGUC